This 491-nucleotide ribosomal RNA is filed under the name uncultured bacterium. Its description in RNAcentral is "bacterial SSU rRNA". It matches the Rfam family "Bacterial small subunit ribosomal RNA", at positions 28 to 526 of the family's 1533-position model. The record is from RNAcentral.
GACGAACGCUGGCGGCGUGCUUAACACAUGCAAGUCGAGCGGAAAGGCCUUUCGGGGUACUCGAGCGGCGAACGGGUGAGUAACACGUGAGUAAUCUGCCCUUGGCUUUGGGAUAACUACCGGAAACGGUGGCUAAUACCGGAUACGACCAAUCCCUGCAUGGGGUGUUGGUGGAAAGUUUUUUCGGCCAGGGAUGUGCUCGCGGCCUAUCAGCUUGUUGGUGGGGUAAUGGCCUACCAAGGCUUCGACGGGUAGCCGGCCUGAGAGGGUGACCGGCCACACUGGGACUGAGACACGGCCCAGACUCCUACGGGAGGCAGCAGUGGGGAAUAUUGGACAAUGGGCGGAAGCCUGAUCCAGCAACGCCGCGUGAGGGAUGACGGCCUUCGGGUUGUAAACCUCUUUCAGUACCGACGAAGCGCCGAUGAUGGUGGUGACGGUAGGUACAGAAGAAGCACCGGCCAACUACGUGCCAGCCGCCGCCGUAACAC